This 468-nucleotide ribosomal RNA is filed under the name uncultured bacterium. Its description in RNAcentral is "partial 16S ribosomal RNA". It matches the Rfam family "Bacterial small subunit ribosomal RNA", at positions 28 to 507 of the family's 1533-position model. The record is from RNAcentral.
GACGAACGCUGGCGGCGUGCUUAACACAUGCAAGUCGAACGGAAAGGCCCUGCUUUUGUGGUGUGCUCGAGUGGCGAACGGGUGAGUAACACGUGAGUAACCUGCCCUUGACUUUGGGAUAACUUCAGGAAACUGGGGCUAAUACCGGAUAGGAGCUCCUGCUGCAUGGUGGGGGUUGGAAAGUUUCGGCGGUUGGGGAUGGACUCGCGGCUUAUCAGCUUGUUGGUGGGGUAGUGGCUUACCAAGGCUUUGACGGGUAGCCGGCCUGGGAGGGUGACCGGCCACAUAGGGACUGAGAUACGGCCCAGACUCCUACGGGAGGCAGCAGUGGGGAAUAUUGCACAAUGGGCGGAAGCCUGAUGCAGCAACGCCGCGUGCGGGAUGACGGCCUUCGGGUUGUAAACCGCUUUCGCCUGUGACGAAGCGUGAGUGACGGUAAUGGGUAAAGAAGCACCGGCUAACUACGUG